This 2651-nucleotide ribosomal RNA is filed under the name Phaeocystis antarctica. RNAcentral describes it as "large subunit ribosomal RNA". It matches the Rfam family "Bacterial large subunit ribosomal RNA". Lineage: Eukaryota; Haptophyta; Phaeocystales; Phaeocystaceae. The record is from RNAcentral.
AAUUUCAGAUAGAAUGCUUGAUUUAUAGUUUUAGGCGUUUAAAAACGAAAUGUUUGGUUUAAUAAUAGAGAGAAAUCAAAAUUCCUUAAGAGAAAACUUUUAUCUCAAAAAGUAAGUUUUAAAUUUUGUUUAAUAUAAAACUUUCCGCAGAAUGCUACGAUUAGUUUUAAAUUUUAGCGAAUUGAUACAUCUAAAUAGCUUCUUAAAAAAUCAAAAGAGAGUUUGAGAGUAACGGUGAGUGAAAUCAAAAAAAUUUAGUUAAAUUAUGGGUUUAAACCUAAUUAAAUUUUGUUUGUGAAUAAUGUUUCAUUGUUUUUAUAGAAAAUAUCGUUUUCUAACUUUUAAGCUGUAAAAUCGAUAGUGUAUUAGUAUUGAGAAGGAAAGCACUUCGAAUUAAAAUAAGGAAAGAAGUCAUAAUAAAUUUGAAAUUUUUGUUAUUCUAUCGUUUAAAACUUUUUACUUUUUGCAUAACGGUUUCAUUAUUUAAAAGAAAAAGGUAAGCUUUAAAAAAACUUAAAAGCUAAUAAUUUUAAAUUUUUAAAACAUUUUUAUAAUCUUUUCUUUUAAACACGAAGCCAAGCGAUCUAUUCAAGCGCUAGCUGAAAUUGAUUUAAACAUCAAUGGAAGGCUUAACUCGUGUCUGUUGCAAUAGGCUGGGAUGACGUUUGAAUAGGAGUGAAAGGCUAAUCAAGCUUGGUUAUAGCUUGAACUCCGCGAAAGUUAUUUUAGUAACGCCGCCAUAUAUAAAAAUGAGGUAAAGCACUGAUUUCGUUUUGGGUGAUUUAAUACUCUUUCAAGCGUUCUUAAACUUUGAAUACAUGUAAUAAUAGUUAAUUGGUGAGUCAGACUUUGAGCUAUAAAGUUCAAAGUCAAGAGAGAAACAACUCAGAUCGUUUGAUAAGAUAUCUAAAUAUAAUUUUAAUAGCAUGAAAGUUUUUUAGCUUCGAAAAUUCUUUAAUAGAAUUUAUUAUAAAAAUAAGCUUUUCAGCAAAUAUUAUGUUACAGUUGGCUUAGAAACAGCCAUCGAUUAAUGAAAACGUAAUAGUUCAAAUAAUUAGCUCAAAAAUUCUUAAAAUUUAAGAUUUUAAGUUCGUCGAAGCAGCGAGUUUUGGUAGUGGAGCAUUUUGUAAAAAAAAAUAGCUGUGAAGCAAAAUCAAAAAAGCUACUGUGAAAAUUAGUAACAUUUAAAAUUGUUAAUAAUUCGUUUUUAAUCUAAGCUUUUUUAUUUCUGUUUUGAGUUUAUUCGAACCUUAAGUUUAAAAUGAAAGUUUUUGGCGAUAGGUAUAAAUAACCGCGAGAUUAAUCUGAAAAAAAUAUCGAAGGAAAAUACUUUAAAAAAAAAAACCGUGUAAAAUUGAGUUUUUCUGCUCUUAUAACGUCAUUUUUUUUUCAGGAAAAAGUAAGGUUUAUUAAUUCGUAGCUUAUAACCGCAACAGGUAGAUUAAUAAAAAAUAUUAAAACGUAAAGAAUAAUAAAAGAUAAGGAACUCGGCAAAUAAUCUCCGUAACUUUGGAAAAAGGAGAUCUGAUUUAAUAGAUACUAUUAAUCAUUAAUGAUAAUUCAAUGAGCGACUUUUUAAUAAAAAAUUAAAAUAACGCAAAUUUUAUAAAAAAAGUAUGUUAUUUGAUUGGUUCUCAAUGCUUUAAACUGAAAAAAGAGGUCAGACGCUUUUUAAUAAGGAAAAGCAAAUAGAUGUCUUAUUUUGAGGAUAAUAAUGUAGCGAAAUUCCUUGACUUUUAAUUGAAGUCCUGCAUGAAGCCAUUAACGACUCAUUGACUCUCUUGUCUUUUAUUCUUGUGAAUUUGAAAUGAAGGUGAAGAUUCCUUCUUCUUAAAGUAAGACGAAAAGACCCUAUCAAUCUUUACUCAACGCUGGCGUUGCUUUUUUAAAUUUAUUCGUUUAGUAGUAGAUAGCUGUUUUUGCUUGUAACUUUUUGAAAAACUAUCCUAUAUUUUAUUAAAGCUAUUUUAUUAUUAUUUAAAACAGCGCUUGCGGGUGAGUUUAUCUGGGAUAGAUCCCUUUUAAAAAGUAAUAAAGGAAUACAAAGAUAACCUUAAUUAAGAUAUCUUAAUUUUGAGCGAAAAAGUAAAUGUUUGUUUGACUGUAAGGCAUAAAAUUGUUUGAACAGCUAUGUUAAAUAGGUUUUAUUGAUCCGAUAGUGUUGAACGAAAAAGCUAUCGCUUAAUAGAUAAAAGAUACUGUAGGGAUAACAAGAUAAUAAAAACCAAGCGAUCAAAGCGACGUUUUUGAUUGUUAUAUCGAUGUCGGUUUAAAGCAUCCCGAUGGUGAAGAAGCUAUCAAGGGUUUAGCUGUUCGCUAACUAAGGCUUUCCAUGAACUGGGUUUAAAACGAUGCGAAUCAGUUUAGUUUCUAUCUGCUUGAUUAUUUAAGGUUUAAAGUUUUUUUCGCUAGUAUGAGAAGAUCGAUGAAAAGAAAGCCAAUAGUUAAAAACCUUUUUUUGGUUGUAUUGCCAUGCUUUUAUUGUUUAAAAAUUGAAAGCAUUAACUUUUGAAACAUUGCUUAAAUAACCUUAAAAUAGGUUUAAAACGAAAACUUUGAUCGGUCAAUAAUAAAGUUUUUUAUAAAAAGAAAAAAAAUAAUUGAUAACGAAUUUGCUGCUCAAAACUUUUUAGUUUAAAGGUACAAACUAA